UACGGAGGAUCCGAGCGUUGUCCGGAUUUAUUGGGUUUGAAAGGGUGCGUAGGCGGUUUUAUAAGUCAGUGGUUAAAGAACGUCUCCGCUCAACGAUGAGGGAUGCCAUUGAUACUGUAGAAGCUUGAGUACUGUAGAGGUAGGCGGAAUUGGUAGUGUAGCGGUGAAAUGCAUAGAUACUACCAGGAACACCGAUUGCGAAGGCGAGCUUAACUGGAGAGGUAACUGAACGACUGAGGC
This 240-nucleotide ribosomal RNA is filed under the name uncultured bacterium. RNAcentral's name for it is "partial 16S ribosomal RNA". It matches the Rfam family "Bacterial small subunit ribosomal RNA", at positions 524 to 752 of the family's 1533-position model. The record is from RNAcentral.